Molecule: small RNA, 289 nt
Filed under: Pseudomonas citronellolis
Lineage: Bacteria; Pseudomonadati; Pseudomonadota; Gammaproteobacteria; Pseudomonadales; Pseudomonadaceae
Description: Pseudomonas sRNA P17
Rfam family: Pseudomonas sRNA P17 (bases 1-251)
Source: RNAcentral
GCAAGGAACUGGUGGCCCUCUCCAGCGACCUGCUGGACAGCCAGCUCGGCCUGCGCGAGAAACUCGCGGUGCGCCGCCACCUGCUGCUGUGCCGCCACUGCCGGCGCUUCAUCCGCCAGAUGCGCCUGACCCAGGCCAGCGUGCGCCGCCUGCCGGAAGACCGCGCCACCGGCCUGGACCUGCUGGCCGCCCGCCUGGCCGAACUGCGCCGGGAUCAUUCGCGGCGCUGAGCGCAAUCGCGGAUGAGAUUCGUGCCUCUCUGUAAGCGGGCCCUGCCCGCGAAAUCGCG